RNAcentral lists this ribosomal RNA (492 nucleotides) under uncultured bacterium. RNAcentral describes it as "partial 16S ribosomal RNA". It matches the Rfam family "Bacterial small subunit ribosomal RNA", at positions 29 to 507 of the family's 1533-position model. The record is from RNAcentral.
AGUGAACGCUGGCGGUAGGCCUAACACAUGCAAGUCGAACGGCAGCACAGUAAGAGCUUGCUCUUACGGGUGGCGAGUGGCGGACGGGUGAGGAAUACAUCGGAAUCUACUUUUUCGUGGGGGAUAACGUAGGGAAACUUACGCUAAUACCGCAUACGACCUACGGGUGAAAGCAGGGGAUCUUCGGACCUUGCGCGAUUGAAUGAGCCGAUGUCGGAUUAGCUAGUUGGCGGGGUAAAGGCCCACCCAGGCGACGAUCCGUAGCUGGUCUGAGAGGAUGAUAGGCCACACUGGAACUGAGACACGGUCCAGACUCCUACGGGAGGCAGCAGUGGGGAAUAUUGGACAAUGGGCGCAAGCCUGACCCAGCCAUACCGCGUGGGUGAAGAAGGCCUUCGGGUUGUAAAGCCCUUUUGUUGGGAAAGAAAAGCAGCAGGUUAAUACCCCGCUGUUCUGACGGUACCCAAAGAAUAAGCACCGGCUAACUUCGUG